Molecule: ribosomal RNA, 232 nt
Filed under: uncultured bacterium
Lineage: Bacteria
Description: partial 16S ribosomal RNA
Rfam family: Bacterial small subunit ribosomal RNA
Source: RNAcentral
GAUCAUGCUCAGGACGAACGCUGGCGGCGUGCCUAAUACAUGCAAGUAGAACGCUGAAGAGAGGAGCUUGCUCUUCUUGGAUGAGUUGCGAACGGGUGAGUAACGCGUAGGUAACCUGCCUUGUAGCGGGGGAUAACUAUUGGAAACGAUAGCUAAUACCGCAUAACAAUGGAUGACCCAUGUCAUUUAUUUGAAAGGGGCAAAUGCUCCACUACAAGAUGGACCUGCGUUG